Molecule: long non-coding RNA, 430 nt
Organism: Lemur catta (Ring-tailed lemur)
Lineage: Eukaryota; Metazoa; Chordata; Mammalia; Primates; Lemuridae
Exons: 3
Source: RefSeq, a predicted model, not a curated record
CCAAACUGCCUCUCAACCUCUCAAAGUGGGAGAAUUAACACUGGAACACACAGUCUUAAAGCUGCUUCUGCUUCGACUGCCUCUAAAAUCCCAGGAACUUAGAGAGUGCUAGCUGCAGGGGACUCCAGGCAAUGCAGUUUUUAGUCUUCCAGACUCUCCUGUAUGGGAAGACCCUCCGGAAGGAUGUAGCCAGCCAGUCAGCCCCACCCACCACCGGCCGGUCCCAGGAUCCCUGGAGGAGAAAUGACUUCCUUUCCAUGUUCCAUGAAGUGACUUUGUCACAAGCAACUCUUGCCAGCCCUCCUCCCCAUCUCCAAUGCCCCCAGGGCUCACAGGACCAAGGUCCCCCAUGGCCUGUCUAUCCCUGGUGUACCAGGCGCCAUCACUGUGUGAACUUGUAUUUGAGCGUGGUGUGUAUGGGGGACUUGUC